This is a small nuclear RNA of Impatiens glandulifera, 161 nucleotides long. RefSeq annotates it as U1 spliceosomal RNA. Lineage: Eukaryota; Viridiplantae; Streptophyta; Magnoliopsida; Ericales; Balsaminaceae. The record is from RefSeq and is a predicted model, not a curated record. The transcript has a single exon.
AUACUUACCUGGACGGGUCUAUGGGUGAUCAUUAAGACCCAUAGCCUAGAUUGGUGACUUAUAUUGCACUUUGUAGGGGUGUCAGUCUAAGGUCAACCCAUGUUGGUUGAGCCUACGUCAUAAUUUGUGUUAGAGGGGGAAUGCGUUCGCGCAGCCCCUAC